This 464-nucleotide ribosomal RNA is filed under the name uncultured bacterium. RNAcentral describes it as "partial 16S ribosomal RNA". It matches the Rfam family "Bacterial small subunit ribosomal RNA", at positions 28 to 506 of the family's 1533-position model. The record is from RNAcentral.
GACGAACGCUGGCGGCGUGCUUAACACAUGCAAGUCGAACGGAAAGGCCCCUUUGGGGGUACUCGAGUGGCGAACGGGUGAGUAACACGUGAGUAACCUGCCCUUGACUUCGGGAUAACUUCAGGAAACUGGGGCUAAUACCGGAUAGGAAUCCUUGCUGCAUGGUGGGGGUUGGAAAGCUUCGGCGGUUUUGGAUGGACUCGCGGCUUAUCAGCUUGUCGGUGGGGUAGUGGCUUACCAAGGCUUUGACGGGUAGCCGGCCUGAGAGGGCGACCGGCCACAUUGGGACUGAGAUACGGCCCAGACUCCUACGGGAGGCAGCAGUGGGGAAUAUUGCACAAUGGGCGGAAGCCUGAUGCAGCAACGCCGCGUGCGGGAUGACGGCCUUCGGGUUGUAAACCGCUUUCAGCAGGGGCGAAGCUUGUGGUGACGGUACCUGCAGAAGAAGCACCGGCUAACUACGU